AUGAACGCUGGCGGCGUGCCUAAUACAUGCAAGUCGAGCGAACGGACGAGAAGCUUGCUUCUCUGAUGUUAGCGGCGGACGGGUGAGUAACACGUGGAUAACCUACCUAUAAGACUGGGAUAACUUCGGGAAACCGUAGCUAAUACCGGAUAAUAUUUUGAACCGCAUGGUUCAAAAGUGAAAGACGGUCUUGCUGUCACUUAUAGAUGGAUCCGCGCUGCAUUAGCUAGUUGGUAAGGUAACGGCUUACCAAGGCAACGAUGCAUAGCCGACCUGAGAGGGGGAUCGGCCACACUGGAACUGAGACACCGUCCAGGCUCCCACGGGAGGCAGCAGGAGGGAAUCUUCCGCAAUGGGCGAAAGCCUGACGGAGCAACGCCGCGUGAGUGAUGAAGGUCUUCGGAUCGUAAAACUCUGUUAUUAGGGAAGAACAUAUGUGUAAGUAACUGUGCACAUCUUGACGGUACCUAAGCAGAAAGCCACGGCUAACUACGU
Molecule: ribosomal RNA, 495 nt
Filed under: uncultured bacterium
Lineage: Bacteria
Description: partial 16S ribosomal RNA
Rfam family: Bacterial small subunit ribosomal RNA
Source: RNAcentral